GGGAUGAACGCUGGCGGCGUGCCUAACACAUGCAAGUCGAGCGUGAUUGGUGUGAGUGGAGACUUCGGUCAAAGCGAUCACCAUGAAAGCGGCGGACGGGUGAGUAACGCGUGGGCAACCUGCCCCAUACACGGGAAUAGCCACUGGAAACGGUGAUUAAUGCUCGAUAAGACCCCAGUGCCACAUGGCACCGAGGCCAAAGAUUAUCGGUAUGGGAUCGGGCCCGCGUCUGA
RNAcentral lists this ribosomal RNA (233 nucleotides) under uncultured soil bacterium. Its description in RNAcentral is "partial 16S ribosomal RNA". It matches the Rfam family "Bacterial small subunit ribosomal RNA", at positions 27 to 240 of the family's 1533-position model. The record is from RNAcentral.